GUUUACCCAGUUAUUCGCCGCGGGAUGUUUUGUUAGCGGGGGUUUGUCUGGGUUUUAAGACCGGGAGUCGUGCAUUCAAUUACCACACGCUAACAACAGCCGACGACAGUGCCUUUACGUGGGAAAAAAAAGUUUCAGCAUCAUGGGUUGCAAAGGGUCAAAGUCCACAGCUGCUGCCGGUGCCGCCAAGGAAGGGGGAGAGCCUCAGACCACCCAGGAGCAGACGACAGAGGGAGGUGAGAGUGCACAGCGUGACGUCACAUUUGAACUGUUCAUGGAGAUGUGUGACGGGGGCAGAGUCAGAGAUUCUCCUAUAUGAGAUGGAUUGCUGCAAAUGUUAUUAUUUAAUUAUCAUCAACUUUCCGUCCAUUGUUAUGUCAUCCAUUAAACCUUUUGGAAAUUCCUUCAUUUUACAACAUAUGAACAGCUGUGAUAACUAAUUUGUUCCAGUACAAAACAUGAGUUUAUAUUUUUACUUUUACACAAGUUUUUUAACGUAUGAAAAUAAUAAUCGAGAGAUUAUAAUAUACUUUAUUUUUUUUACAACUUGAAAUGUGUACAUACCAUUUUUAAAAAAAAACAACAACAUUCCUACAUUUUUUCAGUAUUAUAAAAAUUAAUAAUUGAGAUUAAACAUGAAACAAAACAAAUGGUUGUUGGCUGUUAUUUUAAUGUUUGAAGACCUUCAACCCAACGUUUGUGAUGAGAGAACAGAACAAAACAAACAAAAGUUA
This is a long non-coding RNA of Physella acuta, 734 nucleotides long. RefSeq lists it as uncharacterized. NCBI's taxonomy places the organism in Eukaryota, Metazoa, Mollusca, Gastropoda, Physidae. The record is from RefSeq and is a predicted model, not a curated record.